This 465-nucleotide ribosomal RNA is filed under the name uncultured bacterium. RNAcentral's name for it is "partial 16S ribosomal RNA". It matches the Rfam family "Bacterial small subunit ribosomal RNA", at positions 338 to 795 of the family's 1533-position model. The record is from RNAcentral.
CCUACGGGAGGCAGCAGUAGGGAAUCUUCCACAAUGGGCGAAAGCCUGAUGGAGCAACGCCGCGUGGGUGAAGAAGGUCUUCGGAUCGUAAAACACUGUUGUUAGAGAAGAAAGUGCGUGAGAGUAACUGUUCACGUUUCGACGGUAUCUACCCAGAAAGCCACGGCUAACUACGUGCCAGCAGCCGCGGUAAUACGUAGGGGGCAAGCGUUAUCCGGAAUUAUUGGGCGUAAAGGGAACGCAGGCGGUCUUUUGAGUCUGAUGUGAAAGCCUUCGGCUUAACCGGAGUAGUGCAUUGGAAACUGGGCGACUUGAGUGCAGAAGAGGAGAGUAGAACUCCAUGUGUAGCGGUGAAAUGCGUAGAGAUAUGGAAGAACACCAGUGGCGAAAGCGGCUCUCUGGUCUGUAACUGACGCUGAGGUGCGAAAGCGUGGGUAGCAAACAGGAUUAGAUACCCGAGUAGUC